RNAcentral lists this non-coding RNA (91 nucleotides) under Drosophila pseudoobscura. RNAcentral also lists the same sequence under 1 other name. Lineage: Eukaryota; Metazoa; Arthropoda; Insecta; Diptera; Drosophilidae. The record is from miRBase by way of RNAcentral.
UGUUGGACUCCAGUAUCGUUGCUCGGGUCGUUGUUGGAUCUAUUGAAAAGUAAACAACGAACCGAGGAAUUUUACUGGCACUCAAAAACAA